AUGACCAUGCUUUCUCGGGCACCUAUCUUCUGGCACUUGAUCCCUCCACAGGCUACACUCAGUCCCUUCAGCAAGACGGUCAGCAGUGUACAAUCAGGACAGAGUAGUUUCAUUCUGCUGCUGCUUCCAUCCCACUUUUUUCUCAUGCUCCAGUGUGGGUCCUGCACAGUCUGCAUUCCCUUCAGGGAAUUCUGUGUUCCAAUGUGCUCAUCCAUGGACAUAUUCCCUUUGGGGAUCUAUCUGUGCCAAAAGCCUGGAUGAUGGACUCAGCCUUGGCUUGCAGUAGUCCUGUUGUGGAGCUGUCUGGAGCCAGUAGUGUCCAGCACGAUCCUACAGCAGCCAGCCCUGAAAUCCUCAGUCCCUCCCAGAACCUGGCCAUCCACACCCAUACAGUUAUGUGCCACACACUGUGUGGUUUGUCCCUUCCUGUCUGCUGGUUUCCCUUAGCCCAAAUAGACAGGGGAAAGAGAAAUGCUCUUCAACACUUCUGAACCUCAUCAGGAACCGGGCAGUCCAGAAUCAUGAUUAUUCUCUUUCACCGUUUCCAAAUGUAAUAUCCAUGUAUGGAAAUUUCACCUAGAAACCAUAGUGUUCCUGUAGGGAAAAUUCCAACCCAUCUGACAUGCCACUGUAUUUUCUCAUAUCUUUAACCUGUCAUAACUGCAAUAAAAAACAAUUUUCUCUGAAGGUUUUGAGGCUU
This 700-nucleotide long non-coding RNA is filed under the name Zonotrichia albicollis (white-throated sparrow). RNAcentral's name for it is "lncRNA (ENSZALG00000004838.1)". The record is from RNAcentral. Lineage: Eukaryota; Metazoa; Chordata; Aves; Passeriformes; Passerellidae.